RNAcentral lists this long non-coding RNA (1129 nucleotides) under Ananas comosus (pineapple). RNAcentral describes it as "long non-coding RNA (ACOM_LNC023562)". Lineage: Eukaryota; Viridiplantae; Streptophyta; Magnoliopsida; Poales; Bromeliaceae. The record is from RNAcentral.
UCUAUUGAAUUUAUUAAGAAGUUUCUUUACAGCCAAUUCUUAUUCUUUAUUCUGCGUUUGGUUCGGGUAUAAGUAAGAACUACUAGUUAUAGGGAUAGGUACAAGUUCAGGUAUAAGCAGGAACUAGACCAAUUUUACGUUUGGAUGAAAAUUGGGUUGUUCCUAGGAAUAAGGUAAAUAGUAUUUGGAUGGUUAGAUUGGAACAAGAGGAAUAAGAGUUAUAAUUUGAAAUUAAAAUUAUAUUAUGUAAUUAAUUAACAUCAAAAUAUUACUUAAAAAUAAAUAAUAAAUUAAUUAUUAAUAAUUAAUUAUAAAUAAUAAAUUAAUAAUAUUGAAUAUCUAAUUAAUAAUAAUAAAAAUUGAUAAUUAUUAAUAAAAUAAUAAUAAUAAUAAUUAAUUAUUAUUAUUAAUUAAUUAUUAAUAAUAAAUUAAUAAUAAUAUCGAUUUUCUAAUUUUUAUUAAUAAUAAUAUCGAUUAUCUAAUUAUUAAUAAUAAUUCUUAUUAAUAUUUAUUAAUAAAUAAUAAUUAUUAUUAUUAAUUAAUUACUAGUAAUAAUUAAUAAUUAUCCAAUUAUUAAUAAUUAAUUAUAAAUAAUAAAUAAUAAAUUAAUAAUAAUAUAGAUUAUCUAAUUAUUAAGGAUAAUAAUUAUUAAUAAAUAAUUAUUAAUUAUUAAUAAUUAAUUAUAAAUAGUAAAUUAAUAAUAAUAGCGAUUGUCUAAUUAAUAAUUAUUAAUAAUUAAUUAUAAAUAAUAAAUUAAUAAUAAUAUAGAUUAUCUAAUUAUUAAGGAUAAUAAUUAUUAAUAAAUAAUAAUAAAUAUUAUUAAUUAGUAAUAAUUAAUUAUAAAAAUAAUAAAUUAAUUAUAAUAAUUAUCUAAUUAUUAUUAAUUAAUUAUAAUUAAUUAAUUAAUUAAUUAUUAAAGUAAUAAAUAAUAAUUUAAAUAUAUUAAUUAGAUUAAUUAAUAAUUUACUGCAAUUAAAAUUAAAUUUAGAUUUUAAUUAAUUUUGUUCUCAUCAAGAAACAAUCUUGUUCCAGGAAAAAGGUGAAACAACAGUUCCAGCCUCAUACCAGUUUGUUCUUGAAACUCUGGAACUGCUGUUCUCGGGUACCAAACAUCACGUUUGGGAACAAA